Molecule: long non-coding RNA, 4788 nt
Filed under: Ornithorhynchus anatinus (platypus)
Lineage: Eukaryota; Metazoa; Chordata; Mammalia; Monotremata; Ornithorhynchidae
Description: lncRNA (ENSOANG00000037480.1)
Source: RNAcentral
AUGACAGACGUGGACGGAAGCGGCGCGGGGCCGGGGGGGGGGGGGGGGGGGGGCGAAGAGAGGGAGCGGGAGGGGAGGAGAGGAGGGCGCAGUCAGGGAGGGCCUCUUGGAGGAGGUGGGCGGUCGACGAGCCUUCGCACGGGGCGGCGACAGUCACCGGCAGAUACGGAGAGGAGUUCUCUUUCGAUAACUGGUAAGACACUGACCGACCCCUCCCAAAAAAGAGACGGGGGAGCACACCCGAUUCUUUCCUUCUCCCCCUCUCCCAUUUCCCGGAGAACGGGGCGGGGCGGCGCAGACCGCUUUAAAGCCCGUCUUUCUUCGGACGGCGAGACCGGCGCCGGGGCUUCGCGCUGCCACGGGCGGACGGGAACGUGGGCGAGGCGCACGGGGUCGGACGGUUUGAGCCGCCCGGGCCCCCCGCGUCCGCCCCCUGCGCGACGGGUGACCAUCCCGGAGAGGGGGAGAGGGGGAGGAUGCGUUUCCCGGCGAGCUCCGAGCUCUUCGGCAUUCGGCUCGGGGCAUUCGACUCACCUCGGGACGCCGUCCUCCGCCGAGGGAGCCCAACUAGCGGGCCGUCGAACCGUUCGGCCCUAUCAGUCGCGGGCCCGGUGGGACUGGGGUCCCUAACCAACUACUCGGUGAAUUGGUCUGUGGGGUGGGAAGAGACAGAGACAGAGAGCACGAGGGAGACGGAGAGCGAGAGAGACGGAGAGCGAGACUGCGAGAGACAGAAAGCGAGAGAGACAGAGAGCAAGUGACAGAGAAUGAGGCAGAGGCCGAGAGAGACAGAGAACGAGACAGAGCGGGCCCACGAGGGAGGGAGAGAGAGCACAAGGGAAACAGAGAGGGAGCGUGAGGAAGAGACGGAGACAGAGACGGACAGAGAGAGACAGAGACGGCGCACGACAGAGAGAACACGAGGGAGACAGAGAGAGCAAGAGGGAGACAGAGAUAAAGAGACAGAGAGAGACACAGAGACACAGAGUUGGAGUAGGGGGCUAGUCCGACGGAAGCAGCAGCAGCCCGGCUCAGUGAAUAGAGCAGGGGCCUGGGAGAAAGACCUGGAUUCUAAGCCCAGCUCUGCCACUCGAUGAUAAUUUUGGCAUCUGUGAAGCGUUUACUACGCGCCAAGCACUGUUCUAAGCGCCGGGCAGACACGAGGUCAUCGGGUUGUCCCACGGGGGGCUCGCGGUCUUCAUCCCCGUUUUCCAGAUGAGGGAACUGAGGCCCAGAGAAGUUGAGCGGCUCGCCCGAAGUCACGCGGCUGGUAAGCGGCGGAGCCGCGAUUAGAACCGGCUCCCAAGCCCGGCCUCCUUCCACCGAGCCGCGCCGUCCGCUGCGUGACCUUGGACAAGUCACUAUUCCCUUCUCUGGGCCUCGGUCCCCUCAUCUGGAAAACGGGGAUCAAGACCGCGAGCCCCACGUGGGACGGGGUCCGUGUCCAACCCGAUUUGCUCGGGUCCACCCCGGGGUCGAGCACGGUCGCCGCCUGGCACGUUGGCGAGCGCCUAACGAACACCACUGUUAGGGACAGCCGGUUAACCUAAACCGAAAGCACCGGACCAACACGAAACAAACCCUCUCCUCGUUUGUAAACCGUGCCCCUCGUGCCCGAUUAGACCGUGAGCCCGACACUGGGCGGGGACCGUCUCCAUCUGGUGCCGAACUGUCCAUUCCAAGCGCUCGGUGCGGUGCUCCGCGCAUAGUAAGCGCUCAACAGAUACUACCGAAUGAGCGAACAGGUCCAGCUCUUGGCCCCAGGCGCCUCGAACCGGGCUCUGCACGCACCAAACGUUCAGACAGAUCCCAUCCGUCGGCCGAGGGGGGUGGGGGGGAAGGGGGGGGCCCGACAUUCCCGACGCUCCUCAGCCGGCCAAAGACCCGGGCCGCUCCACUCGGCGGCCCCGGGUCACCGGCCCCACCGUUUCGACGGCAGCCCGGCCCCGUGAACUUCCCAUUCCUCCGGGUUUUACAGGGCGAGGAAGGGAGGCCUCUCGGGGCGUAGCGCCGCCGUGUCGUCACUCGACAUCAAAAGCGACCGCCCGGGAGGGACGGUGAAACGAGCCACCCUCCACCCGAUUCGACCGGUUCGACCGCCCCGGGAACGGGCGGCCGGGACGCUCCGCGGCUCCGCGGGAGCGAUCCCGGAAGAAGAAAGUAUACCCGAUCGUUUUUCAGAAUAGGCCGUCCGGAUCCCUCACCUUCGAAGCGCAAAAAUACGGAGGGGGAUCGCAGAGGUUCCCAUCGGGUGUCUGGGUAUCUCUGACCUUCCCCGGCGGCCGUGCAAGGUAAACAGAGCGAGACUCGGACCCUUUUAGGUUCUCUGCAGAUCUAAGGUCUCGGAGGCCCGUGAGAAUAACGGUAAUACUGGUGUUCGUGAAGCGCUUACUACGGGCCAGGCACUGUACUGAGCGCUGGGGAGGACACGGGCAAAUCGAGGUGCCCCGUGCGGGGCUCACGGUCUCGAUCCCCACUUUACAGAUGAGACCCAGAAGAGAAGUGACCUGCCCAAGGUCACGCAGCAGGCGGGUGGCGGAGCCGGGAUCAGAACCCGUAACCUUCUGACUCCCAGGCCCGGGAUCUACUACGGAGCCUUUCCGGCACAGCGGAGCAAGAGUUUGAAUCCCCCUCUACCCUGAUUUUUCCCUCUCAGAAAAAAAUAUUAAUUAAAAAAAAAAAAAAAAAAAGGCACCUGGCAGGUAAAAGGGAUGUUGGGUUUUAAAAUGCUACCUCACUAGUCCGGAGAAUCUGGAGAAGCAGCGCGGCUCAGUGGAAAGAGCCCGGGCUUAGGAGUCGGGGGGUCAUGGGUUCGAAUCCCGGCUCUGCCGCUUGUCAGCCGUGUGACUGCGGGCGAGUGGCUUCACUUCUCGGUGCCUCAGUUCCCUCAUCUGUAAAAUGGGGAUGAAGACCGUGAGCCUCAAAAUGGGACAGCCUGAUUCCCCCGUAUCUACCCCAGGGCUUAGAACAGUGCCCGGCACAUAGUAAGCGCUUAACAGAUACCAACACCACGAUCAGUCGGGACUACGGAAACCAUUUUCUCUCGGGCCACUUCGGAACCGCGAGCGGCUACGGAGGCACGAGAAGCGUCUGCAUUUUCGAGACGCGGAACCGGAAAGGCAUCUUCCGGCUGACCAUUUUAACGGAAGAGCGUUUCCUUUCGAAAGGAUGCCUGCCUUCGGGACUCCGCCCUGAAAACCAGGAGCAAUAUUCAUUGGGGGGGGGGGGGCAAUAAAAAAAAGAAGCACCUCCCGCUUCUCUACGACUUCACAGCUCAAGCACUUAGUACAGUGCUCUGCACGCAGAGAGCUCAAAAAAAGAAACCCCCCAAACCCACCACUGCUCUCUUUCCAACAGGAUUUAUCAUGUCCUCGUUCCGGCAGCGCCCCGUCACAGACCUGUCUAUUAACGGGAGGAGGGAGGAGGAGGCCAUGGCUUCGAGGGGGAGAAAGACGAACGGAGGAAGAGCCGACCGCGGUUAUUCUUCUGACGGCGGGAGUUCACCGUUCUCCAGAAAUCCUCGGGCGGGGCGGGGGGGAGAGGGGGUAACCCCUAACCCCAAAAAACCGUCGACGGCUAAAACUGAAGCUCCGCCUUCAGAAACCCUCCCGCCCCUCGGAGGAGCUUGGCCAACCACCCCCUUGAGAGGUGGCGGGGCAAAAGCAAAUGGGAGGGCGGAAACUUCCAGUUGGGAGUCCCUCCCUCCGAGCGGGGCCGGGACAGGUGGGGAAGGAACGGCUCAUUUCCCCAAGGGGGGAAACGCCCGGGCCCCGAACGCGACCCGGAGGAACGAGACGCGGAUCCUCCGGGUUCCGGACCUAGACGGGAGUCUUAGACAAUCAUAAUGACGACGGUAUUUCUCGAGCGCUUACUGGGGGCCGAGCCCCGUUCUAAGCACGGGGGGGGGUGGGGGGGGGGUGUACGAGGUGACGGGGUUGUCCCACGCGGGGCUCACGGUGACUCACGAGGUGACCGAGGCCCGGAGAAGUGAGGCGAGUUGCCCAAAGUCACACAGGCGGCGGGGCCGGCAUCGGGACCCACGACCUCGGACUCCCGAGCCCGGGCUCUUCCCGCCGAGCCACGCCGCUUCGGACGUGGUAAGGCCGCGUGACCUGGCGGAAGGAGCCCAGGAGGGGAAGUUGAGACCCGCCUCUCCCCGCCGCCCCCUUGGUAUCCGUUAAACGCUCACCGUGUGCCGGGCACCGCGCUAGGCGCUGGGGCGGAUACGAGAGGGUCGGGUUGGACACAGUCCCCGUCCCCGACGGGGCUCAUGCUCUUGAUCCUCGGUUUGGAGAUGAGGGAGAAGCCAAGUGACUCGACCGAGGUCACACAGCAGACAAGCGGGGGAGUCGGCAUUAGAAGCCAGGACUCCCAGGGCCGGGCUCUAUCGGUCGGGCCGCGCUGUCUCUCGGGAGUUUUGGUCCCACUCUGCCGCGGGCCUGCUGGGCCCCCUCGGGUGAGUCGCUGACCUUUCUGGGCCUCACUUCCUUACCUAUAAAAAUCAAUCAAAGGUACUUGAGGGUUGAAUGGGUACAGCUCACUGUACUAGGCCCUUCGGGGGACGGGGUACAACAGGGCGGGUAGACACGUUCCCCGCCCGCCGUCCGGAGGGGGAGACCCCUUAAAAUGAAUCACGGAUACGUGCGCAAACGUCAAGGGGCGAGUAUCGAGUAGCAGUAAUAUUCACUAAGCUCUCACCGGGUGCAGAGCGCCGGACUGAGCACUGGGAGAAUACACACAAACGGGAAUUGCCCAUUUCCCUCGGGCGCUUACGAGGGUACAGAUGUC